This 496-nucleotide ribosomal RNA is filed under the name uncultured bacterium. Its description in RNAcentral is "partial 16S ribosomal RNA". It matches the Rfam family "Bacterial small subunit ribosomal RNA", at positions 29 to 507 of the family's 1533-position model. The record is from RNAcentral.
AUGAACGCUGGCGGCGUGCCUAAUACAUGCAAGUCGAGCGAACAGACGAGGAGCUUGCUCCUCUGACGUUAGCGGCGGACGGGUGAGUAACACGUGGAUAACCUACCUAUAAGACUGGGAUAACUUCGGGAAACCGGAGCUAAUACCGGAUAAUAUAUUGAACCGCAUGGUUCAAUAGUGAAAGACGGUUUUGCUGUCACUUAUAGAUGGAUCCGCGCCGCAUUGGCUAGUUGGUAAGGUAACGGCUUACCAAGGCAACGAUGCGUAGCCGACCUGAGAGGGUGAUCGGCCACACUGGAACUGAGACACGGUCCAGACUCCUACGGGAGGCAGCAGUAGGGAAUCUUCCGCAAUGGGCGAAAGCCUGACGGAGCAACGCCGCGUGAGUGAUGAAGGUCUUCGGAUCGUAAAACUCUGUUAUUAGGGAAGAACAAAUGUGUAAGUAACUAUGCACGUCUUGACGGUACCUAAUCAGAAAGCCACGGCUAACUACGUG